GAUGAACGCUGGCGGCGUGCUUAAUACAUGCAAGUCGAGCGAAGCACUUUAACGGAAUUCUUCGGAAGGAAGGUAAAGUGACUGAGCGGCGGACGGGUGAGUAACGCGUGGGUGAUCUGCCCUUCACUUCGGGAUAAGCCUGGGAAACUGGGUCUAAUACCGGAUAGGACCAAUCUUUAGUGUGGUUGGUGGAAAGUUUUUUCGGUGGAGGAUGAGCCCGCGGCCUAUCAGCUUGUUGGUGGGGUAAUGGCCUACCAAGGCGACGACGGGUAGCCGGCCUGAGAGGGUGGACGGCCACAUUGGGACUGAGACACGGCCCAG
RNAcentral lists this ribosomal RNA (321 nucleotides) under uncultured bacterium. RNAcentral's name for it is "bacterial SSU rRNA". It matches the Rfam family "Bacterial small subunit ribosomal RNA", at positions 28 to 334 of the family's 1533-position model. The record is from RNAcentral.